Molecule: non-coding RNA, 78 nt
Organism: Streptomyces sp. NRRL WC-3618
Lineage: Bacteria; Bacillati; Actinomycetota; Actinomycetes; Kitasatosporales; Streptomycetaceae
Rfam family: ASpks TB sRNA
Source: Rfam
CUUCAACGAGCCGAGCCACAGCGGCUCCUGGCCCUCGGGCCGGUCCUUGCCGUACGUGGCGAUGAGGGCCUGGGCCUC